GAUGAACGCUGGCGGCGUGCCUAAUACAUGCAAGUCGAACGGAAAGGCCUCUUCGGAGGUACUCGAGUGGCGGACGGCUGAGUAACGAGUAGGAAUGUACCCCAAAGUGAGGAAUAACCACGAGAAAUCGUGGCUAAUACCGCAUGUGCUCUACGGAGUAAAGCUUCGGCGCUUUGGGAACAGCCUGCUUAUGAUUAGUUUGUUGGUGAGGUAAUGGCUCACCAAGGCUACGAUCAUUAGCUGGUCUGAGAGGAUGAUCAGCCAGACUGGGACUGAGACACGGCCCAGACUCCUACGGGAGGCAGCAGUAGGGAAUUUUCCACAAUGGACGAAAGUCUGAUGGAGCAACGCCGCGUGCAGGAUGAAUGCCUUCGGGUUGUAAACUGCUUUUAUAUGUGAAGAUAAUGACGGUAGCAUAUGAAUAAGGAUCGGCUAACUCCG
This 441-nucleotide ribosomal RNA is filed under the name uncultured bacterium. RNAcentral describes it as "bacterial SSU rRNA". It matches the Rfam family "Bacterial small subunit ribosomal RNA", at positions 28 to 505 of the family's 1533-position model. The record is from RNAcentral.